Long non-coding RNA from Brassica napus (rape), 1150 nucleotides. RefSeq lists it as uncharacterized. Lineage: Eukaryota; Viridiplantae; Streptophyta; Magnoliopsida; Brassicales; Brassicaceae. The record is from RefSeq and is a predicted model, not a curated record. The transcript has 2 exons.
UUAUAGUCAUUGUUCGUAUCACUAAAACUCAAAUUCUGAAAUGGGAAAAAAUCUCCGAUUGAGGACUAAAGGACUAAAGAACGCCAGCUAUAUAUAUAUUUAACGCCAGUCACUGACGUUACAUUUUAAUUCUUAGAAUGUAUAGUGUGAGUGAAACCUUCUACUAUAAGUAGCUGAAAAUAGGAAAAAUCAUAAACAAAAAUAUAAGAACAACAUUUUUCCUUAUAACUAUAUAUUUUAAUUAUACUUAAAUUAUUUUGAUAUUUAUUUUCCUCUCGGUACUAACAUUAUAACCCUAACAUUUUAAUUAUUUGAGGUUAUGACAAUAAGCCGUUCAAAAAAGAAAAGAGGUUAUCACAAUAAAUCAAUUAAGUAUAUUGACAUACACUAAGAAAAACUUAUAUAGAUGUGCUUGAUAUAAUUCAUAAAUGCACAUAACAACACAUGCAGCAUACAGUGUAUAUAUUGCGUAAUAUCACAUUUAUCACCCUUGAUCAAUUAGAAUCGUUAGAUCAAAUGUAUUUUUCUAAUUUUUCAUUUUCUUUGAUUUUGUUUUCUUCAUCCUUCUUAUUUUAUUUGAUAUGUAUCUUUUAAAUCAAAUAUAAUUCAAUCAGAUAAUUAUGUUAAUAAAAACAUACAUGUUUUUCUGCAUAUGUGAAAAAAUAAUUAUGGAUAUAAAUUCUUCGUAAAAUAAACAACUUUUUGUUAAUGGGAAUGUCAAAUUAUAGUCUAUAUUAAUUUUAUAGAAUAACACGUAUUUAUAAAUACUUUAUAACUACUAUUUUGCUGUGUUCUCUCUCCUUCCUCCACUUCGUGUUGUGAUAUUAAUUUGAAUCGUUUGUCUAUAUUAUCUAUUUAAUAAAUCCAAUAUAGUACAGCACAUUAGUAUUAUAUAUCAUGUGUUGUAAAAAUAUCUCGCGCGGAGAAAGAAAUAAUCGUCCGUUUUCGAGCCAAAUUGUCACAUCCAACAAUUUAUUUUAUUACAUGGUUAGUUUCGAAAACAAGCAAAAAUUAAAAAGUCAAUAUGUUUAUAUUUUGUUCUUGUUUUUACCAACGGUUAAUAUUUACUUGUUCAAUAUGUACUAUUUUUUUUUUGUAACAUUCAAUGCAUCACUAUAUUGAGCAAGAUAUCGAUAUAAUAUGCCCUUUU